RNAcentral lists this long non-coding RNA (214 nucleotides) under Physcomitrium patens. RNAcentral's name for it is "long non-coding RNA (PPAT_LNC013994)". Lineage: Eukaryota; Viridiplantae; Streptophyta; Bryopsida; Funariales; Funariaceae. The record is from RNAcentral.
CAUCAACAACAUCCUCAUAAACCUAAGCUGGUUUGAUGAUAGCUUCCUUCGGAAGCUUGUUCACUCAAGAAUAUAAGAAAGGGGGAGAGCACCACCAAAAUUCGUAGUUGAUGUAGUUAUUUUCUCCAGGUUAAAGUAGAAUUUUUUCAGUAGCCAUAGUUUGGUCUUCUGAUAUGGAUAGCCAAGAGAUAGAUACUAUGCUAGUCAGAUUAUC